Molecule: precursor RNA, 679 nt
Filed under: uncultured Cercozoa
Lineage: Eukaryota; Cercozoa
Description: partial 18S ribosomal RNA
Rfam family: Eukaryotic small subunit ribosomal RNA
Source: RNAcentral
AAUAGCGUAUAUUAAGUUGCUACAGUUAAAAAGCUCGUAGUUGGAUUUCUGGCCUGAAACAUUUUGCCGGCCACGGUUUCGUGUGUUAGUGCUUUGUGUUCUGGCCAUCCUUCCAAUCGCUAUUCAGCUUUCUUCAUUGAUUGUUGAGUGGUAUUGGAUCUUUUACUUUGAAAAANUUAGAGUGUUUCAAGCAGGCUUUAUGCUAUGAAUACAUUAGCAUGGAAUAAUAAUUUAGGACUUCGGUUCUAUUUUGUUGGUUUCUAGGACUGAAGUAAUGAUUGAUAGGGAUAGUUGGGGGUGCUAGUAUUCAGCGGCCAGAGGUGAAAUUCUCGGAUUCGCUGAAGACUAACUUAUGCGAAAGCAUUCACCAAGGAUGUCUUCUUUAAUCAAGAACGAAAGUUGGGGGAUCGAAGACGAUCAGAUACCGUCGUAGUCUCAACCAUAAACUAUGCCGACUAGGGAUGAGUGAACGUUGCAUUUUCGACUUCAUUCGCACCUUAUGAGAAAUCAAAGUCUUUGGGUUCCGGGGGGAGUAUGGUCGCAAGGCUGAAACUUAAAGGAAUUGACGGAAGGGCACCACCAGGAGUGGAGCCUGCGGCUUAAUUUGACUCAACACGGGAAAACUUACCAGGUCCAGACACAGUAAGGAUUGACAGAUUGAAGAUCUUUCUUGAUUCUA